RNAcentral lists this ribosomal RNA (1182 nucleotides) under Triticum aestivum (bread wheat). Its description in RNAcentral is "partial small subunit ribosomal RNA". Lineage: Eukaryota; Viridiplantae; Streptophyta; Magnoliopsida; Poales; Poaceae. The record is from RNAcentral.
AUGGCACUGGGAGUCAUGAGUUUGCUAUGCUCAUUCCUGGCCGUCCUGUCGAUCGCCAUGACGGCGACCGCUGGCGACGAGGCCGCGCUGCUUGCUUUCAAAGCGCACCUCAGCAAUGGUGGCUUGCUGGCCUCUUGGAACAGCAGCGCCGGCUUCUGCAGCUGGAAAGGCGUGACGUGCAGCCACCGAAGGCCAGCGCGGGUGGUGGCGCUGAGAUUGAACGCCACCGGGCUCACUGGGCCACUCUCCCCGGCCAUCGGGAACCUCACGUUCCUGCGGACUCUCGACCUGGGCACCAACUCGCUCCACGGGGACAUUCCGGCGAGCCUCGGCCGCCUCCGCCGCCUGCAGGAGCUCUACUUGGGAGAAAACUCCUUCUCCGGCACAUUACCAGUCAACCUGAGCUCCUGCACCAGCAUGACCAAUAUGGGACUGUACAACACCAAGCUAAGCGGGCGCAUCCCGGCUGAGCUCGGCGAGAAGCUCACAGCCCUGGUAGCGAUCUCGCUGAGAAACAACAGCUUCACAGGGCCCAUCCCAGCGUCACUAGCCAAUUUGUCCCGUCUACAAGUCCUGGACCUCUCCAAUAACCAGCUCGUUGGCUCGAUUCCACCAGGGCUUGGCAGCAUCCAGAGCAUGCGUUUUUUCAAUCUCUUUGGAAACAACCUCUCCGGUAUGCUUCCACCUUCUCUCUACAAUUGGUCGUUGAUGGGAGCAUUUGAAGUAGGGUAUAAUAAGUUGCACGGAAACAUUCCGGAUGAUAUUGGUAGCAAGUUCCCCAAGUUGUAUUAUUUUGGCUUGGGUCAUAAUCAAUUCACAGGAACCAUCCCUUCCUCAAUAUCCAACAUAUCUUCCCUUGAAACAAUUGGCCUCUACCAUAAUGGAUUUAGUGGGUACGUGCCUCCCACAUUGGGGAAGCUGGGAGCUCUCCAGACACUGUACUUUGCUGACAAUAAGCUUGAAGCGGAUGACAAUGAUGGGUGGGAAUUCAUCACUUCUUUGGCAAACUGCAGCAAACUGAAGACGUUGGAACUCAGCAUCAAUUCUUUUGGAGGACAACUACCUGGUCCAAUUGUGAACCUCUCAACGACCCUCCGGUUCUUGCAGGUAAUGAACAAUAGGAUCUUUGGGAGUAUCCCUGCAGACAUUGGCAAUCUGGUUGGUCUGGAAGUACUUGGAUAG